This is a long non-coding RNA of Manduca sexta (tobacco hornworm), 1121 nucleotides long. RefSeq lists it as uncharacterized. The transcript is spliced from 3 exons. NCBI's taxonomy places the organism in Eukaryota, Metazoa, Arthropoda, Insecta, Lepidoptera, Sphingidae. The record is from RefSeq and is a predicted model, not a curated record.
AUACAAAUAGGAGUUUUGAUACAAUUUACAAUUAAAUUUUCUUAAUAGUACGACUAAUGUAGAUAAACAAAGCUUUAUACAUUUGAAUAUUGGAUAAUAUAUCUUCCAAUUGGCGGGGAAUACUUUCAAUGUUACUAUUUACACAUGUACCACUAUCACAUAAAUCGUUCGCUAAUAAUAAACGGUCAAUUCCAAACGCAGGGCACCGAAGUACGAUAUGAUCCAAAUCAGCAUUUGCUUGAUUACAGUAUUGUCCCAUGUACAAGUGAAGGAGCAGUGACUACAUUAGAUGAGACUGGUUCUAUGUCCAGAGGACUCAAUUCGAGUUGUUUGUGAAGAAUGCUAUUGUUUAAGGAUACUAUUUUCAAAUAAAAAUCUUUGGGCCAACUGUAAUCUACGCAAAACCAGAGGAGGAGAGACACAGUAUGAUGAUGGUUGCACAUUUAUCUCAAGAAAAGUUGGAAGGUGGUAACUACCCAUUGGGUCAUCAUGAACAUACCAAUUGCAAAGAUGAGCAAUAGAAGAACUAGUAAGAGCCAAAUCUAAUGCAGCAGCCUGUCUACCAGGAUAAGGGACCGUUGUUGUAGAUCCAUCAUUUAAAAUGCAUAAAUCACAAUCAUCUAUAAGGUUAAACAAGCAUUUACCCCUAUUGUUGUCAUAAUUAGAUCCAAAAGCCAUGUGAUGAGCAUUAAAAUCACCCAUUAUAACACAAGGCCUUGGUAAGGAAUUUAUAAGUCUCUUCAAUUUUAAAUCAUCAAAUUGAUUAGUGGGUGGACAAUAAAUACAAAGUAAAUAUAUACAGCUUGUGCCAGUUUUUAAUGAAAUACAUAUAUUUUGUAUGGACUCAUGAUACAAAGUGUCUAUUAUACUGUACUGUAAACCAUGUUUGAUUAGUAUACCGACUCCAUGAUGAGGGUUUUUGGAUACUUUAUAAUGAAAAUUAUAUGAUGGGAAAUUUGGAAUUCUAGUGUUGGGUUUUAUCCAAGUCUCAUUAAGAAGACAAAUGUCAACAGACUUUUCAACUAAUAAAUUUUGUAAUAAGGCUUUUUUACUCUGCAAACUUUGUAUAUUAUACUGUAAUAUUUGUAAAUAAUUAUCCAUUAAAUUAAAUUUGAUAAGAA